Molecule: ribosomal RNA, 497 nt
Filed under: uncultured bacterium
Lineage: Bacteria
Description: partial 16S ribosomal RNA
Rfam family: Bacterial small subunit ribosomal RNA
Source: RNAcentral
GGUGAACGCUGGCGGCGUGCCUAAUACAUGCAAGUCGAGCGAACCGAUCAGGAGCUUGCUCAUUUGACGUUAGAGGCGGACGGGAGAGUACCAUGUGGGUGACCUAACUAUGAGACUGGAAUAACUCCGGGAAACCGGGGUUAAUGCGGGAUAACAUUUAGCACCGCAUGCUUCUAACGUCAGAGAUGGUUUUGCUAUCACUUAUAGACUGACCCGCCCCGUAUUAGCUAGUUGGUAAGGUAACGGCUUACCAAGGCAACGAGACGUAGACGACCUGAGAGGGUGAUCGGCCACACGGUAACAGAGACUCGGUCCAGACUCCUAGAGGAGGCAGCAGUAGGGAAUCUUCCGCAAGGGGCGAAAGCCUGAUGGAGCAACGCCGCGUGAGUCAUGAAGGUGCUCGGAUCGUAAAACUCUGUUAUUAGGGAGGAACAAAUGUGUAAGUAACCGUGCACGUCUUGACGGUACCUAAUCAGAAAGCCACGGCUAACUACGUG